Molecule: transfer RNA, 112 nt
Organism: Fusarium oxysporum f. sp. cubense
Lineage: Eukaryota; Fungi; Ascomycota; Sordariomycetes; Hypocreales; Nectriaceae
Rfam family: tRNA
About the family: Transfer RNA (tRNA) molecules are approximately 80 nucleotides in length. Their secondary structure includes four short double-helical elements and three loops (D, anti-codon, and T loops). Further hydrogen bonds mediate the characteristic L-shaped molecular structure. tRNAs have two regions of fundamental functional importance: the anti-codon, which is responsible for specific mRNA codon recognition, and the 3' end, to which the tRNAs corresponding amino acid is attached (by aminoacyl-tRNA synthetases). tRNAs cope with the degeneracy of the genetic code in two manners: having more than one tRNA (with a specific anti-codon) for a particular amino acid; and 'wobble' base-pairing, i.e. permitting non-standard base-pairing at the 3rd anti-codon position.
Source: Rfam
GUCAAGAUGGCCGAGUGGUCUAAGGCGCUGCAUUCAAGACGUCGUCUUACUCAGUUAACUAGGGUGUUCUGCAGUAUCGAAAGAUUCUUGGGUUCGAAUCCCAAUCUUGACA